CACGUAGGGCGCAAGCGUUGUUCGGAUUCAUUGGGCGUAAAGGGUGCGUAGGCGGCGCGGUAAGUCGGGUGUGAAAUCUCGGGGCUUAACUCCGAAACUGCAUUCGAUACUGCCGUGCUUGAGGACUGGAGAGGAGACUGGAAUUUACGGUGUAGCGGUGAAAUGCGUAGAUAUCGUAAGGAAGACCAGUGGCGAAGGCGGGUCUCUGGACAGUUCCUGACGCUGAGGCACGAAGGUCAGGGGAGCAAACGGG
Molecule: ribosomal RNA, 253 nt
Filed under: uncultured bacterium
Lineage: Bacteria
Description: partial 16S ribosomal RNA
Rfam family: Bacterial small subunit ribosomal RNA
Source: RNAcentral